UGGAUGAUGUGGAUUAAUUCGAUGCAACGCGAAAAACCUUUACCUACCCUUGACAUGUCUGGAACCUUGCUGAGAGGCGAGGGUGCCUUCGGAGCCAGAACACAGGUGCUGCAUGGCUGUCGUCAGCUCGUGUCGUGAGAUGUUGGGUUAAGUCCCGCAACGAGCGCAACCCUUAUCAUUAGUUGCUACGCAAGGGCACUCUAAUGAGACUGCCGGUGACAAACCGGAGGAAGUGGGGAUGACGUCAAGUCCUCAUGGCCCUUAUGGGUAGGGCUUCACACGUCAUACAAUGGUCGGUACAGAGGGUUGCCAAGCCGCGAGGCGGAGCCAAUCCCACAAAGCCGAUCGUAGUCCGGAUUGUUCUCUGCAACUCGAGAGCAUGAAGUCGGAAUCGCUAGUAAUCGCAGGUCAGCAUACUGCGGUGAAUACGUUCCCGGGUCUU
This 442-nucleotide ribosomal RNA is filed under the name uncultured Thiobacillus sp. Its description in RNAcentral is "bacterial SSU rRNA". It matches the Rfam family "Bacterial small subunit ribosomal RNA", at positions 933 to 1382 of the family's 1533-position model. Lineage: Bacteria; Pseudomonadati; Pseudomonadota; Betaproteobacteria; Nitrosomonadales; Thiobacillaceae. The record is from RNAcentral.